AUACAGAGGGUGCAAGCGUUAAUCGGAAUUACUGGGCGUAAAGCGCGCGUAGGCGGUUUAAUCAGUCGGAUGUGAAAGCCCCGGGCUCAACCUGGGAACUGCAUUCGAUACUGUUAAGCUAGAGUAUGAUAGAGGGAAGUGGAAUUCCAGGUGUAGCGGUGAAAUGCGUAGAUAUCUGGAGGAACAUCAGUGGCGAAGGCGACUUCCUGGACCAAUACUGACGCUGAGGUGCGAAAGCGUGGGGAGCAAACAGAAUUAGAUACCCUAGUAGUCC
Molecule: ribosomal RNA, 274 nt
Filed under: uncultured bacterium
Lineage: Bacteria
Description: partial 16S ribosomal RNA
Rfam family: Bacterial small subunit ribosomal RNA
Source: RNAcentral